CUACACAUGCAGUCGACGAUGAACCUCACUUGUGGGGGGAUUAGUGGCGAACGGGUGAGUAACACGUGAGUAACCUGCCCUUGACUCUGGGAUAAGCCUGGGAAACCGGGUCUAAUACUGGAUACGACCUUCUGGCGCAUGCCAUGUUGGUGGAAAGCUUUUGUGGUUUUGGAUGGACUCGCGGCCUAUCAGCUUGUUGGUGGGGUAAUGGCCUACCAAGGCGACGACGGGUAGCCGGCCUGAGAGGGUGACCGGCCACACUGGGACUGAGACACGGCCCAGACUCCUACGGGAGGCAGCAGUGGGGAAUAUUGCACAAUGGGCGCAAGCCUGAUGCAGCGACGCCGCGUGAGGGAUGAAGGCCUUCGGGUUGUAAACCUCUUUCAGUAGGGAAGAAGCUGGUCCUUCGGGGUUGGUGACGGUACCUGCAGAAGAAGCGCCGGCUAACUACGUGCCAGCAGCCGCGGUAAUACGUAGGGCGCAAGCGUUAUCCGGAAUUAUUGGGCGUAAAGAGCUCGUAGGCGGUUUGUCGCGUCUGCCGUGAAAGUCCGGGGCUUAACUCCGGAUC
RNAcentral lists this ribosomal RNA (568 nucleotides) under bacterium het-w-5. RNAcentral's name for it is "bacterial SSU rRNA". It matches the Rfam family "Bacterial small subunit ribosomal RNA", at positions 49 to 621 of the family's 1533-position model. The record is from RNAcentral.